AAAGCACAAAAAAAUAAAUUUUUCAAACCAAAUUAAACAUCAUGAAAAUCUUUUUUUAUUUCUCCAUCCUUUUACUUGUUCUUUCCAUUGGUUUUGAAAAUAACCAAUUGCAAGUAAUAGCACAAGCGGACAAAUGUUGUGCUACAGAAGUAGGCAACAUUUAUUGUCUUCCACCUGCAGAACCA
Arachis ipaensis is the source of this 185-nucleotide non-coding RNA. Lineage: Eukaryota; Viridiplantae; Streptophyta; Magnoliopsida; Fabales; Fabaceae. The record is from RefSeq and is a predicted model, not a curated record.